This 582-nucleotide unclassified non-coding RNA is filed under the name Penicillium hordei. RNAcentral describes it as "sequence contains 18S rRNA gene, ITS1, 5.8S rRNA gene, ITS2, 28S rRNA gene". The stretch from base 220 to 372 matches the Rfam family "5.8S ribosomal RNA". The record is from RNAcentral. Lineage: Eukaryota; Fungi; Ascomycota; Eurotiomycetes; Eurotiales; Aspergillaceae.
UCGUAACAAGGUUUCCGUAGGUGAACCUGCGGAAGGAUCAUUACCGAGUGAGGGCCCUCUGGGUCCAACCUCCCACCCGUGUUUAUUUUACCUUGUUGCUUCGGCGGGCCCGCCUUUACUGGCCGCCGGGGGGCUCACGCCCCCGGGCCCGCGCCCGCCGAAGACACCCUCGAACUCUGUCUGAAGAUUGAAGUCUGAGUGAAAAUAUAAAUUAUUUAAAACUUUCAACAACGGAUCUCUUGGUUCCGGCAUCGAUGAAGAACGCAGCGAAAUGCGAUACGUAAUGUGAAUUGCAAAUUCAGUGAAUCAUCGAGUCUUUGAACGCACAUUGCGCCCCCUGGUAUUCCGGGGGGCAUGCCUGUCCGAGCGUCAUUGCUGCCCUCAAGCCCGGCUUGUGUGUUGGGCCCCGUCCUCCGAUUUCCGGGGGACGGGCCCGAAAGGCAGCGGCGGCACCGCGUCCGGUCCUCGAGCGUAUGGGGCUUUGUCACCCGCUCUGUAGGCCCGGCCGGCGCUUGCCGAUCAACCCAAAUUUUUAUCCAGGUUGACCUCGGAUCAGGUAGGGAUACCCGCUGAACCUAAGCA